Onthophagus taurus is the source of this 312-nucleotide non-coding RNA. Lineage: Eukaryota; Metazoa; Arthropoda; Insecta; Coleoptera; Scarabaeidae. The record is from RefSeq and is a predicted model, not a curated record.
UUCCAGAAGGUGGUAGGAGGUGCUAUGCUAUACAAAAGGCUUAAAUUCAUGACUAAAAACAUAAUUGGGGAAUACCAGAAUAUUAGUGUCAGAAUUCGUGUAGGAAAGCCAAUUAAAAUGUGCUAAACGAUGCUAACGAAGUCGGAAAUUAAGGGAAGCCAAAUCCCAACAAGGACUGUGGGUCACAAAAGAGAGCGAGGUUGCAUAAAGGAUAGGAAUGUAAUGUUAUAAAAAAGCAUUAUAUUGAUUGUAUUAUUUAUAUUUAGGUCCCAUACAUUACAACAGAUUGUCACAAUAAAUUAUGUUCAAAAA